GCCCGGACGGGAAGGGACGGGAGAGAGACUUCGCUUCACAAACCCCCCUGGGACAGCCGGUCCUGGUGCCCCCGCAGGACUCUAGGGAGCAGCAAGCUGGGCUGGUGGGAAUGAGCAGAAUAAUCCCGAGGUGGUAGAUGAGACGUAUCAGAAGCUCUAGAGCUUUGGAGCUGCUGGAGCUGCAGGAUGUCUCGAUUGGCAGGAGGUGCGGGCCUACAGUGCAAUAAAAGCUCGGAGCAGCGCCGAAGAAGCAGCAGGAGUGGGACAAGCAGCAGCCCGUCUACCAGCAGGGCAGGGAGAGCUCAAGAUCCUGGGCACCCAAGCAGACCAGACAGGGAUAGAUCCCUCUUUCAGUGAGGUAGCUAUUAAAAAGGUCCCAGUCCAAAGGCCACAGAAAGGAAGAGGCAGUACAGGACUGGGCUCUGGUGAUGACUGUGAAUUCUCACCACGGUGAGCAGCAACUUGCCCGACGUCCUCCGAUGCCCAGAGUGAGAGGAGACUAGCCUGUGCCCCUGCUCAUUCCUCACAGUGUGUCUCCCUCUUGGAGAGGAAUUCCCAAAAAGAGAAGUGUAUCCAGAUGCCCUUCUCCCUCCUGAACUUGGCUACCUGUUAGUUUUCUUAAGUACCUGAUAACCACCUGCUGAAACCCUAAAGAACUGUUAGUAGGAUCCGUGGUCAUUAGGAUAAUUAACUUGCAAAACAUUUACAGAAGCAUGUGGCAAGAUGACCUGCAAGCAU
Long non-coding RNA from Parus major (Great Tit), 738 nucleotides. RefSeq lists it as uncharacterized. The transcript has 3 exons. NCBI's taxonomy places the organism in Eukaryota, Metazoa, Chordata, Aves, Passeriformes, Paridae. The record is from RefSeq and is a predicted model, not a curated record.